RNAcentral lists this ribosomal RNA (487 nucleotides) under uncultured bacterium. RNAcentral describes it as "bacterial SSU rRNA". It matches the Rfam family "Bacterial small subunit ribosomal RNA", at positions 37 to 518 of the family's 1533-position model. The record is from RNAcentral.
UAGCGACAGGCCUAACACAUGCAAGUCGAGGGCAGCACAAGGAGCAAUCUGAGGUGGCGACCGGCGCACGGGUGAGUAACACGUAUGCAACCUGCCUGUAAGCGGGGAAUAACCCGUUGAAAGACGGACUAAUACCGCAUAAUACUAAAUUACUGCAUGGUAAUUUAUUUAAACAUUUAUGGCUUACAGAUGGGCAUGCGCAUGAUUAGCUAGUUGGAGAGGUAACGGCUCCCCAAGGCAACGAUCAUUAGGGGUUCUGAGAGGAAGGUCCCCCCACACUGGUACUGAGACACGGACCAGACUCCUACGGGAGGCAGCAGUGAGGAAUAUUGGUCAAUGGACGAGAGUCUGAACCAGCCAAGUCGCGUGCAGGAAGAAUUGUCCUAUGGAUUGUAAACUGCUUUUGCAGGGGAAUAAAGUGCAUCACGUGUGAUGUUUUGUAUGUACUCUGCGAAUAAGGAUCGGCUAACUCCGUGCCAGCCGCGGC